RNAcentral lists this ribosomal RNA (435 nucleotides) under Triticum aestivum (bread wheat). RNAcentral describes it as "partial small subunit ribosomal RNA". The record is from RNAcentral. Lineage: Eukaryota; Viridiplantae; Streptophyta; Magnoliopsida; Poales; Poaceae.
AUGCUGGUGAUGGCACCCCUGCCAUGUUCACCGGACGCGGGGGCGAACCCACUGGUGGCGGACACAGAGGCGAACGUGAACGCGGCGGACGCGGAGCUAAACUCAGCAGCUGGCCAAGAUUCGGCGGACGACGACAUGGAUGUCCACGCACACGCGCACGCGGCAGAUGCGGAGGUAACCUCCGCAGCUUGCCAAGCUACGUCCGACGUCGACAUGGCCACGCAUGCGCACGCGGCGGACGCGGAGCUAAACGCAGCAGCUGGCCAAGAUCCGGCGGACGACGACAUGGACGUGCACGCGCACACGGACGCGGAGGUAAACUCAGCAGCUUGCGAAGCUACAGCCGACGACGACAUGGCCGCGUACGCGCGCGCGGCGGACGCAGAGGUAAAUGUAGCAGCUGGCUCUUCCAAGACAUUUGUGGCGAGAGCUUGA